RNAcentral lists this ribosomal RNA (460 nucleotides) under uncultured bacterium. Its description in RNAcentral is "partial 16S ribosomal RNA". It matches the Rfam family "Bacterial small subunit ribosomal RNA", at positions 338 to 795 of the family's 1533-position model. The record is from RNAcentral.
CCUACGGGAGGCAGCAGUGAGGAAUAUUGGUCAAUGGGCGCUCGCCUGAACCAGCCAAGUAGCGUGAAGGAUGACUGCCCUAUGGGUUGUAAACUUCUUUUAUAUGGGAAUAAAGUGCAGUAUGUAUACUGCUUUGCAUGUACCUUAUGAAUAAGGAUCGUCUAACUCCGUGCCAGCAGCCACGGUAAUACGGAGGAUCCGCGCGUUAAUCUGAAUUACUGGGCUGAAAGCGGUCGUAGGCGGUAGCUCCAGUCAAGGGUGAAAUCCCCGCGCCCAACGUUGGAGCUGCCGUUGAAACUGGCAAACUGGAGUGUGUGAGGGGAUAGUGGAAUGCCAGGUGUAGGGGUGAAAUCCGUAGAUAUCUGGAGGAACAUCAGUGGAGAAGGCGACUAACUGGCACAUAACUGACGCUGAGGAGCGAAAGCGUGGGUAGCAAACAGGAUUAGAUACCCGGGUAGUC